GGAUUUUACUGCUUCCUGGUGCGGUCCUUGCCGUUUUAUUGCCCCAAUUCUUGCUGACAUUGCUAAGAAGAUGCCCCAUGUUAUGUUCCUCAAGGUUGAUGUUGAUGAACUGAAGAAAGUUGCAGAGGAAUGGAAUGUAGAGGCAAUGCCAACUUUUGUCUUCAUUAAAGAGGGUAAAGAAGUGGAUAGGGUUGUUGGUGCCAAUAAAGACGGAUUGCUUCAGACCAUAGAGAAGCAUGGUGCUGCUCCUGCUGUUGUGACUGCUUGAGCCUUAAUAUUUAGUUUUGUCUUCUGUAAUAACUCUGGAUGGUUGUUUUUUAAUUACCCACCAUUUUUUUACUGCUUUCUUGAAAGAUUUGUUAUGUUGGUGUUUGGAAUCUGACAUUUGUGCAUAUGGUGUUUGCUGGUGUAAGGCUAUAUGUCCAUUUCUAUCAAAAGACUCUUUUCCCAA
This 451-nucleotide unclassified non-coding RNA is filed under the name Hevea brasiliensis (rubber tree). Lineage: Eukaryota; Viridiplantae; Streptophyta; Magnoliopsida; Malpighiales; Euphorbiaceae. The record is from RNAcentral.